GAUGAACGCUGGCGGCGUGCUUAACACAUGCAAGUCGAACGGUGAAGGCGGAGCUUGCUCUGCUGGAUCAGUGGCGAACGGGUGAGUAACACGUGAGCAAUCUGCCCCUGACUCUGGGAUAAGCGCUGGAAACGGCGUCUAAUACUGGAUACGAGCUGCGAAGGCAUCUUCAGCAGCUGGAAAGAAUUUCGGUCAGGGAUGAGCUCGCGGCCUAUCAGCUUGUUGGUGAGGUAAUGGCUCACCAAGGCGUCGACGGGUAGCCGGCCUGAGAGGGUGACCGGCCACACUGGGACUGAGACACGGCCCAGACUCCUACGGGAGGCAGCAGUGGGGAAUAUUGCACAAUGGGCGAAAGCCUGAUGCAGCAACGCCGCGUGAGGGACGACGGCCUUCGGGUUGUAAACCUCUUUCAGCAGGGAAGAAGCGAAAGUGACGGUACCUGCAGAAAAAGCGCCGGCUAACUACGUG
RNAcentral lists this ribosomal RNA (468 nucleotides) under uncultured bacterium. RNAcentral describes it as "partial 16S ribosomal RNA". It matches the Rfam family "Bacterial small subunit ribosomal RNA", at positions 28 to 507 of the family's 1533-position model. The record is from RNAcentral.